This 500-nucleotide ribosomal RNA is filed under the name uncultured bacterium. Its description in RNAcentral is "partial 16S ribosomal RNA". It matches the Rfam family "Bacterial small subunit ribosomal RNA", at positions 29 to 523 of the family's 1533-position model. The record is from RNAcentral.
AUUGAACGCUGGCGGCAUGCUUUACACAUGCAAGUCGAACGGUAACAGGGUGCUUGCACCGCUGACGAGUGGCGAACGGGUGAGUAAUGCGUCGGAACGUGCCGAGUAGUGGGGGAUAACGCAGCGAAAGUUGUGCUAAUACCGCAUACGCACGGAGGUAGAAAGUGGGGGACCUUCGGGCCUCACGCUAUACGAGCGGCCGACGGCUGAUGAGCUAGUAGGUGCGGUAAAGGCUCACCUAGGCGACGAUCAGUAGCGGGUCCGAGAGGAUGAUCCGCCACACUGGGACUGAGACACGGCCCAGACUCCUACGGGAGGCAGCAGUGGGGAAUUUUGGACAAUGGGCGAAAGCCUGAUCCAGCCAUGCCGCGUGUCUGAAGAAGGCCUUCGGGUUGUAAAGGACUUUUGUCAGGGAGGAAAUCCCUAGUGCUAAUAACACUGGGGGAUGACAGUACCUGAAGAAUAAGCACCGGCUAACUACGUGCCAGCAGCCGCCGCCG